This 492-nucleotide ribosomal RNA is filed under the name uncultured bacterium. RNAcentral's name for it is "partial 16S ribosomal RNA". It matches the Rfam family "Bacterial small subunit ribosomal RNA", at positions 29 to 507 of the family's 1533-position model. The record is from RNAcentral.
AGUGAACGCUGGCGGUAGGCCUAACACAUGCAAGUCGAACGGCAGCACAGUAAGAGCUUGCUCUUACGGGUGGCGAGUGGCGGACGGGUGAGGAAUACAUCGGAAUCUACUUUUUCGUGGGGGAUAACGUAGGGAAACUUACGCUAAUACCGCAUACGACCUACGGGUGAAAGCAGGGGAUCUUCGGACCUUGCGCGAUUGAAUGAGCCGAUGUCGGAUUAGCUAGUUGGCGGGGUAAAGGCCCACCAAGGCGACGAUCCGUAGCUGGUCUGAGAGGAUGAUCAGCCACACGGGAAGUGAGACACGGUCCAGACUCCUACGGGAGGAAGCAGUGGGGAAUAUUGGACAAUGGGCGCAAGCCUGAUCCAGCCAUACCGCGUGAGUGAAGAAGGCCUUCGGGUUGUAAAGCCAUUAUGUUGGGAAAGAAAAGCAGCAGGUUAAUACCCCGCUGUUCUGACGGUACCCAAAGAAUAAGCACCGGCUAACUUCGUG